Molecule: ribosomal RNA, 465 nt
Filed under: uncultured bacterium
Lineage: Bacteria
Description: bacterial SSU rRNA
Rfam family: Bacterial small subunit ribosomal RNA
Source: RNAcentral
CUACGGGAGGCAGCAGUCGGGAAUAUUGGACAAUGGGGGCAACCCUGAUCCAGCCAUGCCGCGUGAGUGAAGAAGGCCUUCGGGUUGUAAAGCUCUUUCGGCCGGGAAGAAAUCGCACAGGCUAAUACCUUGUGUGGAUGACGGUACCGGAAUAAGAAGCACCGGCUAACUACGUGCCAGCAGCCGCGGUAAUACGUAGGGUGCGAGCGUUAAUCGGAAUUACUGGGCGUAAAGCGUGCGCAGGCGGUUUUGUAAGACAGAUGUGAAAUCCCCGGGCUCAACCUGGGAACUGCAUUUGUGACUGCAAGGCUAGAGUAUGGCAGAGGGGGGUGGAAUUCCACGUGUAGCAGUGAAAUGCGUAGAGAUGUGGAGGAACACCGAUGGCGAAGGCAGCCCCCUGGGCCAAUACUGACGCUCAUGCACGAAAGCGUGGGGAGCAAACAGGAUUAGAUACCCCAGUAGUCC